This 496-nucleotide ribosomal RNA is filed under the name uncultured bacterium. RNAcentral describes it as "bacterial SSU rRNA". It matches the Rfam family "Bacterial small subunit ribosomal RNA", at positions 8 to 509 of the family's 1533-position model. The record is from RNAcentral.
AGAGUUUGAUCCUGGCUCAGGAUGAACGCUGGCGGCGUGCUUAACACAUGCAAGUCGAACGGAGCUUAAGAGGAAGCUUGCUUUCAUUUUAAGCUUAGUGGCGGACGGGUGAGUAACGCGUGAGCAACCUGCCCUUCAGUGGGGAAUAACACCGAGAAAUCGGUGCUAAUACCGCAUAAUGUCGGAGGACCGCAUGAUCUUCCGACCAAAGGAUUUAUUCGCUGAAGGAUGGGCUCGCGUCCGAUUAGGCAGUUGGCGGGGUAACGGCCCACCAAACCGACGAUCGGUAGCCGAACUGAGAGGUUGAUCGGCCACAUUGGGACUGAGACACGGCCCAGACUCCUACGGGAGGCAGCAGUGGGGAAUAUUGGGCAAUGGGCGAAAGCCUGACCCAGCAACGCCGCGUGAAGGAUGAAGGUCUUCGGAUUGUAAACUUCUUUGAUUGGGGAAGAAUAAAUGACCUACCCAAAGAACAAGUCACGGCUAACUACGUGCC